AAAAGCAAGAGAAGCCUUCAAUUUUCCUUAAGAAUAGUUAAAUUACUGUCUUGCCCCUAAAUCCUUCAUUGAAAAAAUUUCAUUUUCUCUCAAGAAUAAAAUUACAACCAAACCCCUUCACAACCUCUGUCUGACUAAUGCUGAGUACUCCGUGUUCUUCUGUCUCCCAAAACUCGUUGCUUUCUCUCUCCUCACUUAGCUUUCUCCGUGAUUUCCUCCUCCCUUUCCCUCUUCUCCUAUCUUUUUAAUGAAAUUCUAGUGUAACUUUGCCCAAUUUUGAAAUGUGUGCUUAUCAAGUUUGUGCAUCGGGCAAGCUGUAUGACUCUUUUUUUACAAUCUAAAGGUUGAUUUUUCUCUUUCACGUGGCAGCUCCGACAUAUACUAUACAUGUUUGAAAGAUAUAUUUGUCAUUUGAUGGUUGUUAGGUGGUUAAUGUUGUUAGCUAUUUGAAAUUCUGUUUGGAAUUUGGAUGAUUCAAAAUGGAAUCAGAUGUGGUGUAUCUUUGUAGGUCUGUAGGUGUAGCUCCUGAACGUGCCCGGCCCGUGCUGGACCGAAAAGUUCAAAUCACACCCAUGCCCGCUCAGGCCCAGCCCAUGGGCCGUCGUGCCUAGGCCUAAUCCUAACACUUAUAAAAGCAAGAACUUUGAUUUACUAUUCCUGUAAUAGUGAAUUUACGGUUAAACCCUCACUUUCAUGCACAAUUUUUUUUGGUCUUCUACCUUAAAGACAGUGUAAUUACAUUUUGCCCUCCUUCCCUUCUGAUUGUGCCGCGUGGCCUUUUUACCCUCUCCUCCGAACCCUCCUGCUUUCAACCCUCUCCUCCCUUUUCUUACCUGCUGCUUCUUUCUCCUGUGCUAGGGCUUACUCAAGGCGAUCUGCAGGCUUUAGAUCCCCGGCAAGGUACUUGUGCUAAUGUGUUGUUGAUUUUCGAUUAAUUCAACUAUAUGAUCUUAAUUUUUCAUUUGUUGUUAAUUUUUCGAUUACUUUUGACUAAAUGCCCUCAAUUCUGCUUUUUUCCUCUCUCAAUUUUCUUCGUUUAUCUAUUUUGUAUCGGUUUUUUGGAUUAUCUGUUGAUUUUAUUUGUAUUUUUAUUGGUUCAAAAAGUGUAGUUUUCUGAUAUGAAAGAUACAUUCUGUUUGUUUUUUGUUAGCUCUGUUGUGAGUUUGUUUUAUUGUCCAAUUAGUGUAUCCCCACUUCAUAGUCUAUAGGCUAAGGGACAGGCCUGUUUGAACACUGCUUGUCCCUGUCAAUUUUCUCAAAUGCUUGCUGAUUAUGGUUUUGUAAGCAGCUUAUAAGUGUGAUUUGUGCAAAGUUUUAGGUUUUCCGAGUCAAUAUUUUUUAGUGCAAUGGUUAAUAAACCUAAAUUAUAAGACUUCAUAGCAAAUUAUGCUCCGAAAAUCAGUCAUUGUAUUGUUGAAUACUGCUUAAUGUCUGUCAGUUUGUUCAAAUGACAGCUUAGAAGUGCGGGGGAUACUUAGACUCUUAUGGUUGUUGUUGGUUAUAAAUCUUUACCUCUUAGAACAGUAAGGGACCAUAGUGUUGCAGAGUCUAGCCAGUUUUUCGGGGGAAGAAGGUGGUGUUGUGUAUAGGAAGGGAAGAAGAAGAAACAUGGGAAAUGGAGAAGGGGAAGUUCUGAUGGGAGUUAUCAGUUCAAAGCUUCUCAUGGAAGCUAAUUUGAUAAGCCUACGAAAGAUAAGAAGUAUCAAAAGAAGCUGAAACUUCACAUAUCAGGUAUUUAUUUCUGUUUGUUCCCCUUCACCAAGUAAUAAUGUGUAUGUUAUCUUGUUGUUGUCAUUUAUUUUUGUGCUAUAGUAGGAGUACUCAACGAAAUGUUAACACAACUCUAAUAUCCACAUAGGAAUCAGAUAGACCCUGAAACGGUGAAAUACUUAUCUUAGAUUGCGAAUGUACUAGAAAGUGUUAAAGUAGAUUAGUAGAGUUGGAAGAGUGUUCUGUCGUUUGUGGUAAUUCUUUGGAGGACAGCAGAGGGAAAGAUAUGGAGCUUGCAAAUAACCGUAUUAUCUUCCACAUGAUGCAAACGUUGUUGAACUGCUGUGAUGCGGACCAUAUUUGUGGUUUUCUUUGUAGUUGUGCGUCAAUAAGAAUAGGCAAACAACACGUACUAUAUAUCUUACAGAUUGACGAACACAAACUAGGGACUGAGAUUGCUGCUGAAACUUCUGUUGUCGUGGCUGCUGCUUCAAUUGUCUUUAGCAAAACUGAUAAAGCAUAUGCUCGCCAACUCCUCAACAAGGCUAAAUCAGUAAUGUUCCUCUUUCACAUCGUAUGCCCCAUUCCCAGCACUAAUUCUUACUCAAUACAUUAAAGAGUAAUGCAUGCAUGAAUCAUGAUAUCUGAUAUGAUGAUUAAUUAACCUCGUACAUCAAUGCCUAAUAUGGCACUGGUCCCCUAGCGCAGCUCUUUAGAUUUGCUGGAAGUUUAAAAGGAACAUUUGAUGGAGAAUGCCCCUUCUACUGCUCUUUAUCUGGCUCUAAUGACGAGAACCAAACCUACUACCAUUACAGAAGAUCAGUCUGUUGAUGCUACCAUAAGUGGAUUUAAUUGGGACCUCAAAUAUGCCGGAAGCCAGAUCCUUCUCACCGAAGUAAGUGCGCACUGCUGGUAGAAGGUCGUCAUGCAAUUUUACUCACCUUUUUAAGUCAUUGAGUAACAAUACAUCUGGAUAUAUAUACAAUAAUAUACCAAGUAAUUGCAAUAUAAUAUUAACUUUCUUGUUUAUUAACAAAGUAUCUCCAUGAUGAGCUUGUGUUGUAGUUGUGCCAAGGAUAUUGGUCGAGCGGAUUGCUAUAGAUAGGUGUGGUUCUCAUGUAUAGUAGAAACAGUUCUCAAUUCUUUAUCCAAACAUCUCUAAGAUGAGGAAUUCUACAAUCUAAUAAAAGUUACUCUAACCUUAAUAUGCCAGGUAAUCUCUUUUUUUCCUAUGCUUAUGUAGAACAAGGAGUUUCAAGUUUUCUUCAGUUGCUAUUAUCUUUUACUGCUUUCUCUUGUUGAUACUGCUUCCGCUUGCAGACAACACUCUACCGAAGUGAUCUCGUCUUAAAUAAUACUUUUGCUCAACAAUCCGUGUUACUCUACCAAAGUGUGUCUCUGGCUCUCCGCUCAACUGAAAGGCUCACCCUACUUUUGUAAUGCUUACAAAAUAUUAUUUGGUAAUUUAAAUUAUAUCAAUUUCUCGAUACUGCAAGUUUUACAAACAAAAUAAAACAAGAUGAGCCUUUCACAACCUUUUUUUUUUAUGUUGUUCAAUAAUUUCUCUGAAUUAAAUUGGGGAUUUUCUUUUUGAAAUUCGAUUAUUUGGCAUUGAUGUGGAAAAAUUAAAGUUUUUUUUAUUAGGAAGGUCGAUAAAGAGAUUAGUGGUGCUUCCUUAUACAAACUCCAAUAUAUAUCUUUAUCAGGACCCCUUCAGAGAUUAAUCUUUUCUUAUAUAGAUUCCCUUGAAUAUUUUUUACACUCAACUAAGAAAUUGUGACGCCUAAGCUUCUUGGAAGUUAGAACUAUUGAACUGUUGCACGUUCUUAUCUCAUAAAGUAGCGUACCGACAGGCAGUGGAGGCUCAAGGAGGAAAAGUCUAAUUGUCGGUGUGAUGCGAUCUUGCAGAGAGAAAGAAAUACUAUAAGCCACUUCUAGAGCUUUAAUUAGUGUGAGAUUAUUAUUUUUGGUGUACGUAUAAUGGUAUAUCUCUUGGAAAUUCGCCUUUUUUAUGUACAGGUACUGAUCAUAUGCAAUAUCCAAUGUCUUAGCAGUAUUUGCUACAAUUGAUGUCUGCAGUCUGGUGUGGUUGUAGCGGACGGACAAAGGGGAAGGUAAUUUUGCACGCUUCUCCGAGAAGACGAGGUGCACCUUGCCAGAGUCUGAUAUCAGGCAGCAAAACUGUAGCCCAACUGUAUGUCUACUUGAUAUUCUAUUGCUGUCCACCAUAUCAAAGAUGCAGGCAUGUAAAAAAAUCUGACUGAACACGUAUCCUUGGCUGGAAAUGAGAUGGCAUUAAUACUUAGAGAAGCCGAUCCAAUGUUGAUUGAUCCUCCAAUUGCAUGGACUUGAUUUGCCAUGGUUCACCAGGCUCAGCAUGAGAUUGCAGCAGCAUUUGAAAGUGAACAGAAGGAAUUGAUGGGGGUGAAGAGCAUGCUAUUUUGUAGCUUGAAACAGGUAAUUGGAGAGGAUCCGGAUGAUACUAAUGUACUAGCACCAGUUAGGGCUCGGUCUACGCACCCAAGAGUUCAAAAUGUCACAGAAGUACCUUAAAGAUGCAGUAUCUCGACUUAGGGAAUGCAGAUAUCCCUGGUCCAACCUUGGCAUCUCUCUACAGUUAGCAGAAGAACCAUUUCAAGAUGAGGAGGCUUUCAAUCGAGCCUUACUUUUGCCUACUUCUCAGCAAGCACAUGCAAUAUUUCGAACCUAGAGAAUUAUUACAGGCAGGAAAAGAAAUAUGAUAGUGCAAAAGAAAUGUUCACAAAAGCACUUCAGCUCACAAAAGCAUCUUAUUUGAAUCUCAACAAUUUCUGCCAAUAUCAGUUCUUUCAUCUCUUGUUUUUUUUUUCCUGUUUUGUAGUUUUUGUUUAAUUUUUAUGUUGUUCUGCAUUCUUGUUACAGAGUUUUAUCAUUGUUACAGAAUAUGAUGGAUAAAACUCAUCACUACAUCAAUUACUUGUUUGUUAAUUAAGCUCUAUUGUUAA
This is a long non-coding RNA of Spinacia oleracea (spinach), 4694 nucleotides long. RefSeq lists it as uncharacterized. The transcript is spliced from 4 exons. The record is from RefSeq and is a predicted model, not a curated record. NCBI's taxonomy places the organism in Eukaryota, Viridiplantae, Streptophyta, Magnoliopsida, Caryophyllales, Amaranthaceae.